UAACGUACUCUGUGUAGUGUUGAGAUUACACUUUCAUGUGACAUAAAGUAAAAAUGUCAGUGCCAGAAAGUGUCAAAACCAGCAUUACACAUGGUGCUAAACUUGGCAUUCGACACAGUGUUAAAUCAGGUGUUAAACACAGUGUUAAAUCAGGUGUUAAUCUAGUGUCAGUGCUGUCAAAUCUGGCCUUAAACCUGGUUUUAAAUAUGGUGAUAAAUCUGGUGUUAAACAGAGUGGUAAAUCUGGUGUUAAGUGACGUUUAACACCGUAUUUAAGGUGACAUUAAAUAUGGUGUUAAACAGAGUGUUGAAUCUGAUGUUAAGUGAUGUUUAACAAAGUAUUUAACAUGACAUUAUGUCUGGUGUUAAACACAGUGUUAAAUCUGGUGUUAAGUGAUGUUUAACAUGGCAUUUAACAUGACAUUAAAUCUGGUGUUAAACAGAGUGUUAAAUCUGGUGUUAAGUGAUGUUUAACAUGGCAUUUAACAUGACAUUAAAUCUGGUGUUAAACAGAGUGUUAAAUCUGGUGUUAAUCUAGUGUCAAUGCUGUCAAAUCUGGCCUUAAACACAGUUUUAAAUAUGGUGAUAAAUCUGGUGUUAAACAGAGUGUUAAAUCUGGUGUUAAGUAAUGUUUAACACUGUAUUUUACAUGUCAUUAAAUCAGGUAUUAAUGUAGUGUCAGUGCUGUUAAAUCUGGCCUUAAACCUGGUUUUAAAUAUGGUGAUAAAUCUGGUGUUAAGUGAUGUUUAACAUGGUAUUUAACAUGGCAUUAAAUCAGGUGUUAGUCUAGUGUCAAUGCUGUUAAAUCUGGCCUUAAACACGGUUUUAAUUGUGAUGAAUCUGGCAUUAAACACAGUGUUAACACAUGACAGUAACACUACAUUUAACCCAGUGGUAAACAUGAUAAAUGUAUUGUUUAAUCACAUUGUUAAAUCCAGUGUUAAACACAGAGUGUAUAACACAGUGUUUAACAUGAUGUUACACGAUACAUGUAAAAGUUUUUAACACUAUGUCUAACGCCAUGUUUAACACCUGACAGAACACCAGGUUUAACAUGAUGUUAAACCUGGUAAUCAACAUGGUCUGUUAAUGUUUAACACUGUUGAAAGAGUAGCUCACACAGAGCCAAUGAAAAUUGUAUGAAUUCAGCAACAGUGUAAAUUUCAACACUAUAGGAGUUGAAUGUUUUACAGCUAAACUGAAAUCCUCGUUGCAGGUCUUGCUUCUCUUCAUCUUCGGACAUGAUGUGUCUUUGACCGUACGUGUCUCAGUAGAUGAAUCUUAUUUGUCGUUAGCUCGAUCUUACUGUUCAAGCUUCAGAUUUGUUUUCUAUUCGAUUCAUGCUUAAAUCCCAAUCAGUCAGCAGACUUUUUUGUGUUGUGGCCGGAUUUUGAGAUUGUUAAGGUAACUUGUAAAACACUCGUUGCUAACAACAGUUGAUGAACGUACAAAACAAUCAUUAUAUUGUUUUACAAAUGGUUAUUUAUCUUAACUGAAGUUUUAUCGGAAUUAAUGGUUUGUCUAGACUUCACCGUUACUGAUUACACGUCAUGAUAAAGCACUUUUUAUACCAUAAAUCAGUCACACGAGACAUUUUUACAGAUUUUUUGGCUCCAUGAAGCUUCAGAAUGAUGUAAAAACUGUUGGCUGUUGUACGUAAAAAUAACACAAAAUGUGUGAUGUUACAGAAAUAACUUACACAGGAAAUAUUUUAUUAAUGUGCAUUUAUACAUUGGCCUGGUUUUGGAAAUGACUUCUUGAAACUGUCUGAUAUUAAUGUUUGUGUGUUUAUCUUUGGGGGAAAUCUUGUACUGUCAUGUUCAUAAUCACAAGAAUUUUUUUUGAAUAUGUUUAAAGAAUUGACUAAAGUUCAGAGAUGGUGUUUUUGGCCAACACCAGGAGUUUGUUUCCAUUAAAAUAAGCCUGGGGUGAACCAGAUUCCCACGUGAAGUUUGUGUGUGUGUCUGAUUUUUGUAGUAAUUUUUAUUGUAACUUUACUUUUGUUGUUGUUUGAACUGUAUUACUGUAGUGUAUAUUUGAUGGUGUUGGUUUUGAGGUGUCUAUUUGGACAGAGAUAAAGUUUGCAAACAUGAAGUAAGCAGAACCGGUUCUAGUCCAGGAACUGUUUGUCUCAUUGUCUGUCGAUCUCAGUUUGUUUCCUGUAAGGAGCAGAUUUAAGUUUAGAACUGUUUCUGUUUUCUUUCAGUUUUGCUCUGUGUACGUCUUUAUACGGUUUCCACUCAUUGUCACUAAAUGAUCUUAGACUUCUGGAGGUUGGUCAGUGGUUCUCGACCACAAACAAUUCACAAGAUAAAUUUGCAGCACCACGAGAAUUGGCUCAAUAUGAAACUAGAUCUGAAGUGUUUGCAGCAUAUGAAUAGAACUUUGUGAUGUCAUAAGGUUGGUGCUUAAGAGAGAAAAGAUUUUCAGUCAGUUUGAGAUUUACCUCAAAAUAUAAUCAACUGUUUCCUAACAUCUUCACAAUAAUAAAUAAAAAAUAAGAGCUGAAAGAAAAAGAAAAUUACUUAAGUACAGUACUUGCUCUGUCAGUCACAUAAACUCUGUCCUCCUCUAGUGGUUGACACGGGUAUUAAGAAAAUGUAUUUUUCGUGCAGAAAUAAUCACAACUUUUCUCUUACUAGGCAAUAAUAACACUGGGCAUGAAGAUACUAACAGCUACAGCAGAUAGAUCAGUGGACAAAUACAGCAUCAAUAAUCUGACCUUUAACUGUCUUCUGCAGUGGCUCGUUGGUUUUUGUUACUUAUAAGACAUACAUUUGUGUGAGCGUGUGUGUGUGUGUGUGUGUGUGUGUGUGUGUGUGUGUGUGUGUGUGUGUGUGUGUGUGUGUGUGUGUGUGUGUGUGUGUGUGUGUGUGUGUGAGUGAGUGAGUUAGAGAGAGAGAGAGAGAGAGAGGGGGGGGGGGGGGGAGUUGAAAUAUCACUACACUGGUGUCAAAGUGCUGUCACAGGGGCCAGAUGUGGCCCACAGCAAAAUUUUUGUAUGUGAAUUUGAUUUGUAAAAUAUAUAUUAUUUUGUGUUGAUUGUGAAUUUACCCCACAAUUUUAUUUGAGCAUGAUCUUUGUAUUUUUUUUCCUCAAGGCUGAAAGAGGAUAAAGUUUUACAUUUUAUUUUACAGUAAGAAUUUUCAGAAUAAAGAUAUUUGUUCAGAUUAGCAGCACUCUGACACCAAAAUGUUACUUCUAA
Long non-coding RNA from Thalassophryne amazonica, 3204 nucleotides. RefSeq lists it as uncharacterized. NCBI's taxonomy places the organism in Eukaryota, Metazoa, Chordata, Actinopteri, Batrachoidiformes, Batrachoididae. The transcript has 2 exons. The record is from RefSeq and is a predicted model, not a curated record.